UAUAAAUUGAUGAAGAGAAGAAGUAGAUUAGCCGGAUUUUCAGAAAGCUUCUGGGCGCUGUGAAGAAGUAAUUGGGUUAAUCGAAAUGCACCUUGGAGAUGCUAGUAGACUUUGGCUACUAGUCGGGACACCGUUAUCUGCUUGAGGCAUUUUUGCGAAGAAAAGUGGAACCACGCUCAACCGGCGUCUUUUGU
This 194-nucleotide non-coding RNA is filed under the name Latilactobacillus sakei. RNAcentral describes it as "Lactobacillus sakei T-box". It matches the Rfam family "T-box leader". Rfam says of the family: Uncharged tRNA acts as the effector for transcription antitermination of genes in the T-box leader family. T-boxes are found upstream of many aminoacyl-tRNA synthetase genes and some amino acid biosynthetic genes usually in Gram-positive bacteria. Lineage: Bacteria; Bacillati; Bacillota; Bacilli; Lactobacillales; Lactobacillaceae. The record is from RNAcentral.